RNAcentral lists this ribosomal RNA (274 nucleotides) under uncultured bacterium. RNAcentral's name for it is "partial 16S ribosomal RNA". It matches the Rfam family "Bacterial small subunit ribosomal RNA", at positions 523 to 796 of the family's 1533-position model. The record is from RNAcentral.
AUACGAAGGGGGCUAGCGUUGUUCGGAAUCACUGGGCGUAAAGCGCACGUAGGUGGAUCAAUCAGUUGAGGGUGAAAUCCCGGGGCUCAACCUCGGAACUGCCUUCAAUACUGUUGGUCUUGAGUCCGAGAGAGGUGAGUGGAAUUCCUAGUGUAGAGGUGAAAUUCGUAGAUAUUAGGAAGAACACCAGUGGCGAAGGCGGCUCACUGGCUCGGUACUGACGCUGAGGUGCGAAAGCGUGGGGAGCAAACAGGAUUAGAAACCCUUGUAGUCC